This 494-nucleotide ribosomal RNA is filed under the name uncultured bacterium. RNAcentral describes it as "partial 16S ribosomal RNA". It matches the Rfam family "Bacterial small subunit ribosomal RNA", at positions 28 to 507 of the family's 1533-position model. The record is from RNAcentral.
GACGAACGCUGGCGGCGUGCUUAACACAUGCAAGUCGAACGGAAAGGCCUGCUUUCCCUUGUGGAUUGCGGGUACUCGAGUGGCGAACGGGUGAGUAACACGUGAGUGAUCUGCCCCCAACUUGGGUAUAAGCCUGGGAAACUGGGUCUAAUUCCCGAUAGGACUGCAGGGUUGUGCCUGUGGUGGAAAACGAUUUUCUAGUGGUUGGGGAUGAGCUCGCGGCCUAUCAGCUUGUUGGUGGGGUAAUGGCCUACCAAGGCGGCGACGGGUAGGCGGCCUGAGAGGGUGGACGGGCACAUUGGGACUGAGAUACGGCCCAGACUACUACGGGAGGCAGCAGUGGGGGAUGUAGCACGGUGGGCGGAAGCCUGAUGCAGCGACGCAGGGUGGGGGAUGGCGGGCGUCGGGUAGUAAACUCCUUUGGAACGCGAGGAAGCCACGUGGUUGGAAGGGUGGUGACGGUAGUGGUAGAAGAAGCACCGGCUAACUACGUG